CAGUCGCCGCGGUAAUACGUAGGGUGCGAGCGUUAAUCGGAAUUACUGGGCGUAAAGCGUGCGCAGGCGGUGCUGCAAGACCGAUGUGAAAGCCCCGGGCUUAACCUGGGAACUGCAUUGGUGACUGCAGCGCUGGAGUAUGGCAGAUGGGGGUGGAAUUCCACGUGUAUCAGUGAAAUGCGUAGAGAUGUGGAGGAACACCGAUGGCGAAGGCAGCCCCCUGGGCCAAUACUGACGCUCAUGCACGAAAGCGUGGGGAGCAAACAGGAUUAGAUACCCGAGUAGUCCCUGUCUCUUAUAC
Molecule: ribosomal RNA, 301 nt
Filed under: uncultured bacterium
Lineage: Bacteria
Description: partial 16S ribosomal RNA
Rfam family: Bacterial small subunit ribosomal RNA
Source: RNAcentral